Long non-coding RNA from Ruditapes philippinarum (Manila clam), 1386 nucleotides. RefSeq lists it as uncharacterized. Lineage: Eukaryota; Metazoa; Mollusca; Bivalvia; Venerida; Veneridae. The record is from RefSeq and is a predicted model, not a curated record. The transcript has 3 exons.
UUAUCGGCACGUUAACGGUGAAUUAUAUGCUGACUUAAAAUUACGCAUAUUUAACAUCUAUUAAUAGUUGUAUUGAAUAAACGGAGCCCGUAUUGUUUGUUCUUGAUGACGUAACCGGUGCUUCGUAAUAAUUUGAUAAUGUGAAAUCGACUUGUAACUUUACACAACGUGGCACCAAUUAUCGGCAGUGUGUGACAGUUAUCGGCACUUUUAAUUGAUUUUUAAUUAAUGACAGUAAUUUCUUUUGCAAGGUGAGGGACAAUGUUGGUAUUAGUGAGCUCUAUCCAUGGAUCACAAAUUCAGUACAAAUUCCUGGUAAAGGUUCAGGCACAUGUAAAGUUUUAAAGGAAGGAGAAACAUAGUUUUGAUCACGUCUGGAUACAGGCAAAACAACAGGGUUUGACACAUCAAGGACAGUUUCUUGGCUAGGGGCUUCUACAACAUCAGAUGACUCAGUACUUUGAGGGACAGCUGGGAUGGAAGGCAGAUUGGCAGAGGUCGGAUUGGCAAGAUUAGCAGAGGGCAGAUUGACAGAGGGCAGAUUAGCAGUACUGGUAGAGGGAAGAUUGGCAAUAUCGGCAGAGGGCAGGGUGGCAAUGGCAGAGGGCAGAUUGGCAAUAUCGGCAGAGGGCAGAUUGGCAAUAUCGGCAGAGGGCAAAUUUGGAGACACAGAAUCUUUACAUUUGGGACUUUGUGUCUCAUCAGCAAUAAUUUUUGAGGGCCCUAAUUUAGUUUCAUCAAUACCUUUAGGAGUAAGUGGAAAUAAACCAGACCUCCUAAAGGCACUGAUACUAUUCUGGAGUGUCGUGACGCUUUCCCAAACAGACUUGAACACUUCAGGGAAGUGAGUUUUUGUGAAAGCUUCCCCCAAGUGAUCCAUUUGCCAAUUUUUCAAAUGCAUACGCCACUUAGACUUCAUUGGGGAAAACAAUCCUAUAUCACAUGCUUGUAAAAUGUGAGUGGCAUUUUCAAGCAGGCAAUAUAGGAUUAUACCAUUCUCUGCACAGAAUGUUGCUGUGGGUAAUGAUAUAUGUGUACUAUGGCCAUCAACAAAAAGUAUUACUGGAAGGGGGAUAUUCUUUGACAUCACAUAUUCAUGGAAAUGAUUAACAAAGGAGGUGAAGAGUUCAUCGUCCAUCCACCCAUUUGCUGAAUGACCAUAAAUGGCCUCAGGAAACCCUGAUAACAGUGUAUCCCUAAACCUUUGGCCAGGAUAAACAAUAAGUGGUGGCAUAUAGUUGCCAAAUGCAUUAAAACAUGCCAUUACAGUUAUUUGACUCUUAUCACUUGAGAUGACUUGAUAAACAUGUUUAGCACCUUUUGGUGCCAGAACUUUAGAGGAUUUGAUGCUGAUUGGAAAGCCACUUUCGUCCGCAUUGAAAAUCC